This is a long non-coding RNA of Exaiptasia diaphana, 438 nucleotides long. RefSeq lists it as uncharacterized. The record is from RefSeq and is a predicted model, not a curated record. The transcript has 3 exons. NCBI's taxonomy places the organism in Eukaryota, Metazoa, Cnidaria, Anthozoa, Actiniaria, Aiptasiidae.
UCAAUUUGCGCUUCUGCCUCGAGCUCAUUGGCCUUCUGAAGUUCAUCAAUCCAAAGAAUAUGCAAUUUUAACAUCUAGUAUUCCAAAUGAUUGCUCCAGCAAGUCGAACAAUCUAUUGAAGAUCCCUAUGCUGAUAUGUAGGGCUGGAGGACAUACCUGAGAAGGAUUGUGAUCAUCAAUAUAAUGAUUAAAAGGGAAUUCCCAAAGUUGUCUUCAUGGCGAUACUUUCUUCUGCUGUCACUUCAAUUUGAAUACCUUAUUCACCAAAAAAUUAUUAGACUUAAAAGCACAGGAGAUGUGAACAGUUUUCAAAGAAAAUAGAAUGAACAUAGAUAACUAACCUGCCUCUGAAAUAAUUUUUCGACGUUCCUCUUUGCCCAUUUGUUUGAAUUCGUUUUGCUGCUGCACCAAUAUAUUUUGAUUUCCUCCUCCACUAAU